This 480-nucleotide ribosomal RNA is filed under the name uncultured bacterium. Its description in RNAcentral is "bacterial SSU rRNA". It matches the Rfam family "Bacterial small subunit ribosomal RNA", at positions 28 to 498 of the family's 1533-position model. The record is from RNAcentral.
GAUGAACGCUAGCUACAGGCUUAACACAUGCAAGUCGAGGGGCAGCAUUUUAGUUUGCUUGCAAACUAAAGAUGGCGACCGGCGCACGGGUGAGUAACACGUAUCCAACCUGCCGAUAACUCGGGGAUAGCCUUUCGAAAGAAAGAUUAAUAUCCGAUAGUAUAUUAAAACCGCAUGGUUUUACUAUUAAAGAAUUUCGGUUAUCGAUGGGGAUGCGUUCCAUUAGUUGUUGGCGGGGUAACGGCCCACCAAGACUACGAUGGAUAGGGGUUCUGAGAGGAAGGUCCCCCACAUUGGAACUGAGACACGGUCCAAACUCCUACGGGAGGCAGCAGUGAGGAAUAUUGGUCAAUGGACGAGAGUCUGAACCAGCCAAGUAGCGUGAAGGAUGACUGCCCUAUGGGUUGUAAACUUCUUUUAUAUGGGAAUAAAGUAUUCCACGUGUGGGAUUUGUANGUACCAUAUGAAUAAGGAUCGGCU